Molecule: transfer RNA, 67 nt
Filed under: Benthomangelia sp. MNHN IM 2013-9652
Lineage: Eukaryota; Metazoa; Mollusca; Gastropoda; Neogastropoda; Conidae
Description: tRNA-Ile
Source: RNAcentral
UGUGUUACGCCGGAUGAACGGAAAUCAUUGAUGUUGAUUAUUAUGAAAUUAUAAAUUUUUAACACUA